GUAGAUAUAGUUUAACAAAAACAUUAGAUUGUGAUUCUAAAAACAGAAGUUAAAAUCCUCUUAUCCACC
Molecule: transfer RNA, 69 nt
Filed under: Macquaria ambigua (golden perch)
Lineage: Eukaryota; Metazoa; Chordata; Actinopteri; Centrarchiformes; Percichthyidae
Also listed under: 2 other names
Description: tRNA-His
Rfam family: tRNA
About the family: Transfer RNA (tRNA) molecules are approximately 80 nucleotides in length. Their secondary structure includes four short double-helical elements and three loops (D, anti-codon, and T loops).
Source: RNAcentral